AAUGAAGUGCCUGAUUAAAGGAUUACUUUGAUAGAGUAAAUCAAGUAGAAUAACCUCUACCUUCAUUA
RNAcentral lists this transfer RNA (68 nucleotides) under Romalea microptera (eastern lubber grasshopper). Its description in RNAcentral is "tRNA-Ile". The record is from RNAcentral. Lineage: Eukaryota; Metazoa; Arthropoda; Insecta; Orthoptera; Romaleidae.